AGUCGAACGAAGCGCUUAAACGGAUUUCUUCGGAUUGAAGUUUUUGCGACUGAGUGGCGGACGGGUGAGUAACGCGUGGGUAACCUGCCUCGUACAGGGGGAUAACAGUUAGAAAUGACUGCUAAUACCGCAUAAGCGCACAGUGCUGCAUGGCACAGUGUGAAAAACUCCGGUGGUAUGAGAUGGACCCGCGUCUGAUUAGCUAGUUGGUGGGGUAACGGCCUACCAAGGCGACGAUCAGUAGCCGGCCUGAGAGGGUGAACGGUCACAUUGGGACUGAGACACGGCCCAAACUCCUACGGGAGGCAGCAGUGGGGAAUAUUGCACAAUGGGGGAAACCCUGAUGCAGCGACGCCGCGUGAGCGAAGAAGUAUUUCGGUAUGUAAAGCUCUAUCAGCAGGGAAGAAAAUGACGGUACCUGACUAAGAAGCACCGGCUAAAUACGUGCCAGCAGCCGCGGUAAUACGUAUGGUGCAAGCGUUAUCCGGAUUUACUGGGUGUAAAGGGAGCGUAGACGGUUGUGUAAGUCUGAUGUGAAAGCCCGGGGCUCAACCCCGGGACUGCAUUGGAAACUAUGUAACUAGAGUGUCGGAGAGGUAAGCGGAAUUCUUAGUGUAGCGGUGAAAUGCGUAGAUAUUAGGAGGAACACCAGUGGCGAAGGCGGCUUACUGGACGAUCACUGACGUUGAGGCUCGAAAGCGUGGGGAGCAAACAGGAUUAGAUACCCUGGUAGUCCACGCCGUAAACGAUGACUACUAGGUGUCGGGGAGCAAAGCUCUUCGGUGCCGCAGCAAACGCAAUAAGUAGUCCACCUGGGG
RNAcentral lists this ribosomal RNA (818 nucleotides) under uncultured bacterium. RNAcentral describes it as "bacterial SSU rRNA". It matches the Rfam family "Bacterial small subunit ribosomal RNA", at positions 60 to 878 of the family's 1533-position model. The record is from RNAcentral.